AUGAACGCUGGCGGCGUGCCUAAUACAUGCAAGUCGAGCGAACAGACGGGGAGCUUGCUCCUCUGACGUUAGCGGCGGACGGGUGAGUAACACGUGGAUAACCUACCUAUAAGACUGGGAUAACUUCGGGAAACCGGAGCUAAUACCGGAUAAUAUAUUGAGCCGCAUGGUUCAAUAGUGAAAGACGGUUUUGCUGUCACUUAUAGAUGGAUCCGCGCCGCAUUAGCUAGUUGGUAAGGUAACGGCUUACCAAGGCAACGAUGCGUAGCCGACCUGAGAGGGUGAUCGGCCACACUGGAACUGAGACACGGUCCAGACUCCUACGGGAGGCAGCAGUAGGGAAUCUUCCGCAAUGGGCGAAAGCCUGACGGAGCAACGCCGCGUGAGUGAUGAAGGUCUUCGGAUCGUAAAACUCUGUUAUUAGGGAAGAACAAAUGUGUAAGUAACUAUGCACGUCUUGACGGUACCUAAUCAGAAAGCCACGGCUAACUACGUG
This 496-nucleotide ribosomal RNA is filed under the name uncultured bacterium. RNAcentral describes it as "partial 16S ribosomal RNA". It matches the Rfam family "Bacterial small subunit ribosomal RNA", at positions 29 to 507 of the family's 1533-position model. The record is from RNAcentral.